CUGAUAUCACUCCGCUAUAAAACUGGUCCGCUUCAUUCUUUCUACUUUCAAAAAUCUUCUCAAAGUCUUCUCCGAAAGGCUUCUCCGAUGCGUCCUUGGCAAUCGUGAGCCUAACUCUGAGCACGCGUUCCUCACCCCCCUGGAUCUCUAACAUGUGAUGUGCAGCGACCUUGGUGCCUUUCUUCUUAGGGCUGACUGCCUCGCCCUCACCGUUGAUGAGGUAGCGAUGAAAAGCAUCCUUGGUGUAGGGGGUGUAUUGUGAAGCACCGUAUAG
Non-coding RNA from Paramuricea clavata, 274 nucleotides. Lineage: Eukaryota; Metazoa; Cnidaria; Anthozoa; Malacalcyonacea; Plexauridae. The record is from the annotation of a GenBank genome assembly.